GGCCUGGUAGCUCAGCUGUUAGAGCAUGAGCGUACAUAGCAUAGGCGGCGCCCAUGCUUGGGUUCGAAUCCCACCGAGGCUA
This 82-nucleotide transfer RNA is filed under the name Echinostoma caproni. It matches the Rfam family "tRNA". Rfam says of the family: Transfer RNA (tRNA) molecules are approximately 80 nucleotides in length. Their secondary structure includes four short double-helical elements and three loops (D, anti-codon, and T loops). Lineage: Eukaryota; Metazoa; Platyhelminthes; Trematoda; Plagiorchiida; Echinostomatidae. The record is from Rfam by way of RNAcentral.